Molecule: non-coding RNA, 694 nt
Organism: Delphinapterus leucas (beluga whale)
Lineage: Eukaryota; Metazoa; Chordata; Mammalia; Artiodactyla; Monodontidae
Source: RefSeq, a predicted model, not a curated record
AGAGCAAUGAUUGCCAAAAGGAAGAACUUGCAAAGGGUGCUAUUUUAGAAAAAUAAGGAUUCAGGAUGAAUAACAUGAACAUGGAGCUCAACUCAUUAUGUUUGAAGUCUGGGACCACCACUUCAUGUGAAUACAAUAUCCUUGAAUGAGGACACAGUCAUAGGCUCAACCUCCAUGUAAAGGUAGGAAACCCAGUAAACCAGAUUGAACAAGCAGAAGGCAGUGGGGAAGAAGAUCCGCGCAUAGGAGUCCAUCUUGGCGAUACGGAUAUGUAUCCUCCCAUGUCUCCAAGCUCCUGUUCGGCAGUCUUCGAAACAGCAGAAAAAACUGGCACAGUCCUUGCCGUCCAGACACUCAUACCCAUAUUCUUCAUCUCUCUCUUGAAGGUUCUUCAAUUCCCCUUCUCCUCUGCCUUCUUUUCUUCUGCCAGCUCAUGACCCUGGCUUAAGGAAUCCAAGUGUUUUGUAUCUCUGCAACAAAAUCCACUCCACAAUAGAGAGGACCAGAGGGCUUUGUCCUAAGCCAGUCCUCACAUCCCUGUUUCUACUGCCAGGUGGCAAGGUGAAGCCAUCCUACCUGUCUCCAAGUCACUGAACUCAAUCCAGGGUGCCGUACUCCACCAAAGCAGAGAAGACAAAGAUGAAGCAAACAGAUACGAAGAGAUCCAUUGCCGUGACAUAGGAGACCUUGGGGA